This 253-nucleotide ribosomal RNA is filed under the name uncultured bacterium. RNAcentral describes it as "partial 16S ribosomal RNA". It matches the Rfam family "Bacterial small subunit ribosomal RNA", at positions 524 to 776 of the family's 1533-position model. The record is from RNAcentral.
UACGUAGGUGGCAAGCGUUAUCCGGACUUAUUGGGCGUAAAGGGAGCGCAGGCGGUCUUUUAAGUCUGAUGUGAAAGCCUUCGGCUUAACCGGAGUAGUGCAUUGGAAACUGGGAGACUUGAGUGCAGAAGAGGAGAGUGGAACUCCAUGUGUAGCGGUGAAAUGCGUAGGUAUAUGGAAGAACACCAGUGGCGAAAGCGGCUCUCUGGUCUGUAACUGGCGCUGAGGUUCGAAAGCGUGGGUAGCAAACAGG